CCUAACACAUGCAAGUGGAGGGGUAACAUAGAGAAGCUUGCUUUUCUGAUGACGACCGGCGCACGGGUGCGUAACGCGUAUACAAUCUGCCUUCAAGCGAGGGAUAGCCCAUGGAAACGUGGAUUAAUACCUCAUAGUAUGUAGCCUUCACCUGGAGACUACAUUAAACAUUUAUGGCUUGAAGAUGAGUAUGCGUCCUAUUAGCUAGAUGGAGUGGUAACGGCACCCCAUGGCAACGAUAGGUAGGGGUCCUGAGAGGGAGAUCCCCCACACUGGUACUGAGACACGGACCAGACUCCUACGGGAGGCAGCAGUGAGGAAUAUUGGACAAUGGGCGAGAGCCUGAUCCAGCCAUGCCGCGUGCAGGAAGACUGCCCUAUGGGUUGUAAACUGCUUUUACAGAGGAAGAAACCUCCCCACGUGUGGGGAGCUGACGGUACUCUGCGAAUAAGGAUCGGCUAACUCCGUGCCAGCAGCCGCGGUAAUACGGAGGAUCCAAGCGUUAUCCGGAAUCAUUGGGUUUAAAGGGUCCGUAGGCGGGAUAAUAAGUCAGUGGUGAAAGUCUUCCGCUCAACGGGAGAACUGCCAUUGAUACUGUUGUUCUUGAAUUAGUAUGAAGUGGUUGGAAUGAGUAGUGUAGCGGUGAAAUGCAUAGAUAUUACUCAGAACACCUAUUGCGAAGGCAGAUCACUAAUACUAUAUUGACGCUGAGGGACGAAAGCGUAGGUAGCGAACAGGAUUAGAUACCCUGGUAGUCUACGCUGUAAACGAUGGUCACUAGCUGUC
Molecule: ribosomal RNA, 786 nt
Filed under: uncultured Salegentibacter sp.
Lineage: Bacteria; Pseudomonadati; Bacteroidota; Flavobacteriia; Flavobacteriales; Flavobacteriaceae
Description: bacterial SSU rRNA
Rfam family: Bacterial small subunit ribosomal RNA
Source: RNAcentral